This 465-nucleotide ribosomal RNA is filed under the name Vreelandella stevensii. Its description in RNAcentral is "partial 16S ribosomal RNA". It matches the Rfam family "Bacterial small subunit ribosomal RNA", at positions 338 to 795 of the family's 1533-position model. Lineage: Bacteria; Pseudomonadati; Pseudomonadota; Gammaproteobacteria; Oceanospirillales; Halomonadaceae. The record is from RNAcentral.
CCUACGGGUGGCAGCAGUGGGGAAUAUUGGACAAUGGGCGAAAGCCUGAUCCAGCCAUGCCGCGUGUGUGAAGAAGGCCUUCGGGUUGUAAAGCACUUUCAGUGGGGAAGAAAGCCUUGGGGCUAAUACCCUCGAGGAAGGACAUCACCCACAGAAGAAGCACCGGCUAACUCCGUGCCAGCAGCCGCGGUAAUACGGAGGGUGCGAGCGUUAAUCGGAAUUACUGGGCGUAAAGCGCGCGUAGGCGGUCUGAUAAGCCGGUUGUGAAAGCCCCGGGCUCAACCUGGGAACGGCAUCCGGAACUGUCAGGCUAGAGUGCAGGAGAGGAAGGUAGAAUUGCCGGUGUAGCGGUGAAAUGCGUAGAGAUCGGGAGGAAUACCAGUGGCGAAGGCGGCCUUCUGGACUGACACUGACGCUGAGGUGCGAAAGCGUGGGUAGCAAACAGGAUUAGAUACCCUGGUAGUC